RNAcentral lists this ribosomal RNA (301 nucleotides) under uncultured bacterium. RNAcentral's name for it is "partial 16S ribosomal RNA". It matches the Rfam family "Bacterial small subunit ribosomal RNA", at positions 509 to 809 of the family's 1533-position model. The record is from RNAcentral.
CAGUCGCCGCGGUAAUACGAAGGGGGCUAGCGUUGCUCGGAAUGACUGGGCGUAAAGGGCGCGUAGGCGGAUCACGCAGUCAGAUGUGAAAUUCCUGGGCUUAACCUGGGGGCUGCAUUUGAGACGCGUGGUCUAGAGUGUGAAAGAGGGUCGUGGAAUUCCCAGUGUAGAGGUGAAAUUCGUAGAUAUUGGGAAGAACACCGGUGGCGAAGGCGGCGACCUGGUUCAUAACUGACGCUGAGGCGCGAAAGCGUGGGGAGCAAACAGGAUUAGAUACCCGAGUAGUCCCUGUCUCUUAUAA